GGGGUUGUGGCUUAGAGGUAAAGCACUCACCUGGCAUGCAAGAGGCACUAGGUUCAAUCCUCAGCACCA
This 69-nucleotide transfer RNA is filed under the name Ictidomys tridecemlineatus (thirteen-lined ground squirrel). RNAcentral describes it as "Spermophilus tridecemlineatus (thirteen-lined ground squirrel) tRNA". It matches the Rfam family "tRNA". From Rfam's summary of the family: Transfer RNA (tRNA) molecules are approximately 80 nucleotides in length. Their secondary structure includes four short double-helical elements and three loops (D, anti-codon, and T loops). Further hydrogen bonds mediate the characteristic L-shaped molecular structure. tRNAs have two regions of fundamental functional importance: the anti-codon, which is responsible for specific mRNA codon recognition, and the 3' end, to which the tRNAs corresponding amino acid is attached (by aminoacyl-tRNA synthetases). tRNAs cope with the degeneracy of the genetic code in two manners: having more than one tRNA (with a specific anti-codon) for a particular amino acid; and 'wobble' base-pairing, i.e. permitting non-standard base-pairing at the 3rd anti-codon position. Lineage: Eukaryota; Metazoa; Chordata; Mammalia; Rodentia; Sciuridae. The record is from Rfam by way of RNAcentral.